Homo sapiens (human) is the source of this 551-nucleotide long non-coding RNA. RefSeq lists it as uncharacterized. The transcript has 4 exons. Lineage: Eukaryota; Metazoa; Chordata; Mammalia; Primates; Hominidae. The record is from RefSeq and is a predicted model, not a curated record.
CCACCACAGACAACACCGAGGAGCCGAACCACAGGCUCCACUGGCUGCCCAGGUUGGACAGGAGGGUGACCAUCUGUGAGAGGAGAGGUCAGAGAGACAGGAACCAGGAGGCCACGACUGGAAAGUCCAGGCAGAAGAGAACUGCGGAGCCAGCCCAGGGAAGGACAGAAGUGGAAAAGUCACCACAGACAGGAACAAGCUUCCUGGCACACGACUUCCCUGCCAAACAACUCAACUGUAGUCAAAAGGAAAGAGAUUUGUCUAGUCCUAUACCAGGAUAAGGAGGAGAUUCCAAGUCUCUAAAGCUGCAAGAGAAGCAAGUUCAGGAAGACCCGCAAAGGGACCUGGCAACCCCUGAGCUGGAAUCUGGAGGCAGGAGGAAGACCUGGGACGGGAUUCCUCUCAUGCCUGGAACGGACUAUGUGGCACCUAUUGGGGAGAGACAGCAGGCAGGACCCCUCCCAGCAGCUCUAGGAGGUGAGCUCAAGGUAAGUACAGGUGAGUGGCUGAAGCAGAGGGCGCCAUGGAGCAAGCAGGGAGCUUCUCACCGU